GGGAACGUGCCCUUUGGUACGGAAUAACUCAGGGAAACUUGAGCUAAUACCGUAUGUGCCCUUCGGGGGAAAGAUUUAUCGCCAUUGGAGCGGCCCGCGUCUGAUUAGCUAGUUGGUGAGGUAAAGGCUCACCAAGGCGACGAUCAGUAGCUGGUCUGAGAGGAUGAUCAGCCACAUUGGGACUGAGACACGGCCCAAACUCCUACGGGAGGCAGCAGUGGGGAAUCUUGCGCAAUGGGCGAAAGCCUGACGCAGCCAUGCCGCGUGAAUGAUGAAGGUCUUAGGAUUGUAAAAUUCUUUCACCGGGGACGAUAAUGACGGUACCCGGAGAAGAAGCCCCGGCUAACUUCGUGCCAGCAGCCGCGGUAAUACGAAGGGGGCUAGCGUUGCUCGGAAUUACUGGGCGUAAAGGGAGCGUAGGCGGGCAUUUAAGUCAGGGGUGAAAUCCCGGGGCUCAACCUCGGAAUUGCCUUUGAUACUGGGUGUCUUGAGUAUGAGAGAGGUGUGUGGAACUCCGAGU
This 520-nucleotide ribosomal RNA is filed under the name uncultured bacterium. RNAcentral's name for it is "bacterial SSU rRNA". It matches the Rfam family "Bacterial small subunit ribosomal RNA", at positions 120 to 674 of the family's 1533-position model. The record is from RNAcentral.